GCUCUAAUAGCUUAAAAUUUUUAAAGCGUUGUUCUUGUAAGCCAAAGUCGGGCCACCCCUUAGAGCA
Molecule: transfer RNA, 67 nt
Filed under: Deinagkistrodon acutus (Chinese moccasin)
Lineage: Eukaryota; Metazoa; Chordata; Lepidosauria; Squamata; Viperidae
Description: tRNA-Thr
Rfam family: tRNA
About the family: Transfer RNA (tRNA) molecules are approximately 80 nucleotides in length. Their secondary structure includes four short double-helical elements and three loops (D, anti-codon, and T loops).
Source: RNAcentral